GCGUUGUUCGGAUUCAUUGGGCGUAAAGGGUGCGUAGGUGGCGGGGUAAGUCAGGUGUGAAAUUUCGGAGCUCAACUCCGAAACUGCAUCUGAUACUGCCUUGCUUGAGGACUGGAGAGGAGACUGGAGUUUACGGUGUAGCAGUGAAAUGCGUAGAGAUCGUAAGGAAGACCAGUGGCGAAGGCGGGUCUCUGGACAGUUCCUGACACUGAGGCACGAAGGCCAG
Molecule: ribosomal RNA, 226 nt
Filed under: uncultured bacterium
Lineage: Bacteria
Description: partial 16S ribosomal RNA
Rfam family: Bacterial small subunit ribosomal RNA
Source: RNAcentral